GUGAAGGGCAGAGAUAGGUUAUUUUCUCUCUUAGGCAACGCGUUCUGUGGAAAGAGCCAGAGCUUCAGAUUCGGGCGGGCUUGCAUCCAAACCGAGAUAGUGAGUGUUCUCAAAAUGGAAAAGGCAAUGCCCUCAUGGAACUAAGACCCGUGCUAGCAGAUUUCAGACAUGAAGCCCCUACUGAGAAAGAGCUGUGGGAGUAACAGAGGGCUGCCCAUAAAUCUGCAGGUGUCACCUCUUUGUUCAUCUGGGAAACGGCCCUGUAAUGCCUCCUGUAUCUUCCAGGCAAAGACCACAGGAGAUCCUACCAUGAAUGCAGUCUGUAGCACAAAUUGCAUUUCAAAUGUACCAGUCCUUCUAGAUUACUCCGAAACCCCUUCACACCUUUCUAUCCUCUAUGACCUACCCCCAUCUUCUGACUAAGAGUUGGAAUACUGGGACAACCCCAAAAGGAAAUGACCAUGAGACUCUUCCUGAAAUGCCAUGUUCUGGGAGAUCACUCCUUUCUCCUACAAACAAGACUUUUCAUCACUGAGCUGAAUAAAUUCUUCUUAAUUUAUGUAUCUCACUUCUGUUACAUUUCUUUGCCUGUAUCAGAAACAGCUCCUCUGUUUCUCUUCUUUCAAACAAAUCCCUGCCAAAUAGAAUACCAUAACCAAGGGCAUAGUUAGCCAUGAAAUCACCAUACUUCUGCCCCAACCACAUUCUGAUGGCACUGGGGCAGGAGGAGAUAUAAUGCUCCUCCCCAACUCUGUGUCCUCCCUCUGGGGUACUGCCAGCUUCCUUUACUAAUUCACUGUUGAAGGAACUGACUUACAGGGAAUUCACCAUCCUUAGGAAGAUGGAUCGGGAGUAGAAAAUUUGGAUGUUCGUUAGGUUCUCCUUUGAUUAUAUAGAAGAACACAAAGCAAAGAAUGUUGGGAAGAGUGACACAAUGCAUUACUCAAGCAUGUCAAUCUGGGCAAGGCCUGUAAGGGGCUGCAUUGUUUACCUAAACUGCUAGGGCCCCCUCCUAGUUAUUAUAGGGAAUGCUGUUUAUAUCAAUAUUUAAAUAUGCUAUUUCCCCCAAAUGAACCACAACAGCUUCAUUUAAAGUUAUUUUAUUAUGCUGAACAGAUAUUUGGACAAUUUAAAAUUCCACUUGCUAUACAAACAACUCCAAUAAUGCCUCAGUUUAGCAUGUAAAUACAUAUUUAAACAAUUUAAAAACACAUUGACUGCAUAAUUUGUAUUUGUUACUGCUCAAAAGAAAGGACUUUUUAUUUAGUGUGCCAAAUAAUGUGAAUUUGGAUGCCUUCUGAAAGGAUGCAUUAUUCAUGUGCAAGAGAAACAAAAUCAAUAAAUGAAAAUUCGAAUAAAAAGAAAACCCAUUAUGAUACUGCACUCAGACAAUGAUCAUCUUGUGCAUUAUUUGCUCAAGGAAAAGACACAGGAAAAUGGCCCUUUUGGAACCAAGUUAUGGACUGAAUCAUAAACUCCUGCUUAGGCUGUUUGAAAAUAAACAGAAUUAUACGUCU
Long non-coding RNA from Canis lupus familiaris (dog), 1517 nucleotides. RefSeq lists it as uncharacterized. NCBI's taxonomy places the organism in Eukaryota, Metazoa, Chordata, Mammalia, Carnivora, Canidae. The record is from RefSeq and is a predicted model, not a curated record. The transcript is spliced from 4 exons.